Molecule: ribosomal RNA, 284 nt
Filed under: uncultured bacterium
Lineage: Bacteria
Description: partial 16S ribosomal RNA
Rfam family: Bacterial small subunit ribosomal RNA
Source: RNAcentral
GGAUUAGAUACCCUGGUAGUCCACGCCGUAAACGAUGGACACUAGUUGUUGGGCUUCGGUUCAGUGACUAAGCGAAAGUGAUAAGUGUCCCACCUGGGGAGUACGAUCGCAAGAUUGAAACUCAAAGGAAUUGACGGGGGCCCGCACAAGCGGUGGAGCAUGUGGUUUAAUUCGAUGAUACGCGAGGAACCUUACCAGGGCUUAAAUGUAGAGUGACAGGGCUAGAGAUAGCUUUUUCUUCGGACACUUUACAAGGUGCUGCAUGGUUGUCGUCAGCUCGUGCC